Molecule: long non-coding RNA, 512 nt
Filed under: Olea europaea subsp. europaea
Lineage: Eukaryota; Viridiplantae; Streptophyta; Magnoliopsida; Lamiales; Oleaceae
Source: RNAcentral
GUCUAAUUAAAGUAUCCGCUACGUCUUUAUAGAAAUUAUUCCAUCUUUGCUAAUUUCCUUUUUAAGUCAUGUCUAAGACUUAUAUGUCUUGACUUUUCAUUUCAUGUGACUUAGUAUCUUAUCAAAGUAUAGCUAGCCAACGAUCGAUUCAUUUGAUAGAUACAAUUUGUCACCACCAAGAAGCCACAUGCUUCUCACUCACUUUAUUUAAAGCCUCAUUGAUUUUUAAAACACUUGUUGGAUGAUUUCCAUUAAUUCAUUACACUAGUCCAUCACUUCUAUUUGUGGAUUUUCAUACUUGGGUAUUCACUUAUCAUCAUUGAAUCAUUACAAUGAUCUUCAAUGAAUAAUCUUUAAGUAUUUCAUUGGUUUUGCUAGCGCCACAAUCGGCCUUUACCCAUUUAAUCCACUUUUAGACUUAGUGUGUUUCAUCCUUACAAGGCCUUCUCUACCUUUCUCCAUCAUAGAUGUAUUUCUAUGAUUAAAAGGUAAAGGAUGUGGUAACUUUUUAA